GCGUGGAGACAGGUGGUGCAUGGCUGUCGUCAGCUCGUGUCGUGAGAUGCUGGGUUAAGUCCCGCAACGAGCGCAACCCUCACCCCUAGUUGCCACCGGGUAAAGCCGAGCACUCGAGGGGAACUGCCAGCGUCAAGCUGGAGGAAGGCGGGGAUGACGUCAAGUCAUCAUGCCCCUUACGCCCUGGGCUACACACGUGCUACAAUGGCCGGUACAAAGGGACGCGAGACUGCAAAGUGGAGCUAAUCCCAAAAAAGCCGGUCUAAGUUCAGAUUGCAGUCUGCAACUCGACUACAUGAAGGAGGAAUCGCUAGUAAUCGCGCAUCAGCACGGCGCGGUGAAUACGUUCCCGGGCCUUGUACACACCGCCCGUCACACCACGAAAGCUGUCUGUACUCGAAGUCGCUGAG
This 410-nucleotide ribosomal RNA is filed under the name uncultured Methylomirabilota bacterium. RNAcentral's name for it is "bacterial SSU rRNA". It matches the Rfam family "Bacterial small subunit ribosomal RNA", at positions 1026 to 1434 of the family's 1533-position model. Lineage: Bacteria; Methylomirabilota (SeqCode). The record is from RNAcentral.